This 69-nucleotide transfer RNA is filed under the name Tetrastes sewerzowi (Chinese grouse). RNAcentral describes it as "tRNA-Lys". The record is from RNAcentral. Lineage: Eukaryota; Metazoa; Chordata; Aves; Galliformes; Phasianidae.
CACUAAGAAGCUAUGAACCAGCACUAGCCUUUUAAGCUAGAGAAAGAGGAAUCCUCCCCUCCUUAGUGA